CUUGGUCAUUUAGAGGAAGUAAAAGUCGUAACAAGGUUUCCGUAGGUGAACCUGCGGAAGGAUCAUUAUUGAAUAAAUGUUGAUAGGCUGUUGCUGGCUCUUCCUGGGGGCAUGUGCACGCUUGUCAUCUUUAUUUUUCCACCUGUGCACUUUUUGUAGGACCCUAGAGAAAAGUAAUUUUCUGAGAAAAUCAGAAGGGUUGAGGAUUGCUGUGUCUCUUUUCAAUGAGCGCCCCAGCUUUGCCUUGAGUAUCUAGGUUCUAUGUCAUUCACAUACUCCUAUGAAUGUAACAGAAUGUUGAUCAUUGGGUCUUUUAGCACCUAUAAAAAGUUAUAUACAACUUUCAGCAACGGAUCUCUUGGCUCUCGCAUCGAUGAAGAACGCAGCGAAAUGCGAUAAGUAAUGUGAAUUGCAGAAUUCAGUGAAUCAUCGAAUCUUUGAACGCAUCUUGCGCUCCUUGGUAUUCCAAGGAGCAUGCCUGUUUGAGUGUCAUUAAAUUCUCAACUACACUGAUUUUUGUUGGUGUAGAUUGGAUUUGGGGGGGAUUUUUUUGCGGGCUUUAUUUUGUAAAAUGAAGUUGGCUCCCCUGAAAUUGAUUAGCGGUACCUUUGUAGAACCGUCUACAGGUGUGAUAAUUUAUCUAUGCCUUGAGAUGUCUGCACACAAAGAGGUUAUGCUGCUUUCCAACCACAUUUGUUGACAAUCUUGACCUCAAAUCAGGUAGGAUUACCCGCUGAACUUAAGCAUAUCAAUAAGCGGAGGA
Molecule: ribosomal RNA, 763 nt
Filed under: uncultured Inocybe
Lineage: Eukaryota; Fungi; Basidiomycota; Agaricomycetes; Agaricales; Cortinariaceae
Description: eukaryotic LSU rRNA
Rfam family: 5.8S ribosomal RNA (bases 339-492)
Source: RNAcentral